AGGGUUUAUUUGGUUCACCUACUUUAGACUAUAAAAUUUGAACGAGAUUCGUUGAUUUUGAUAAUUGUUGUUUGUUUUACAAAAAUCGGAUUCCGACUCCUAUUCUACUCUGAAAUGAAAAUAACCUAAUUUAUUUAUUGCAUAAUCUGACCCAUUCUAAAGUAAUCCGCUCAAAAUCUUUUUUCACAAGCACCUCUCUUCUCUCCUCUCGCCACUCUCAUCUUUUUUAAUCAAAAUUUUCUCUCAAUAUUCAUUUCAAUUUCAAUUCCAAUAAUGAAUCAAAUAUUUUUGAAUGAUUCAGCAUUCUAUUUUCCAUUCCAAUAUAAUUCAAUUAUGUUUUCUAAUCCUAUUUCAAUCAUGAAUCAAACAUGAGUGUUGAAUUUGUUUGGUAUAUUUCUUUAUUAUAUAUAUAGAGUUGAGUUAGCCUGUUGUCGGUAUUAAACAGACUCCGUUGCUAGAGAUUUGUUUUCAAUAAUUAGAUCCAAAUCGACGAGUAGCACGUUUGGCAUGAUCUAGACUAUUUAAAGUAUUUAAAAACUAAAUUUCAUAUAUUUUCGAUACUAUUAACCUAAUGAUCAAAGGGUAGCAAAAUUUAUAAUUUUAACAAUCGAUACGAAACGUUUGCUCAUUUAACGGAGUAAAAAAUUCAAAUCAGUUGAAUUUUUAUUAAAAAAUUAUUUAAACUAUUUAAAACAAGAUUCACAUCCUUAAUCUUGAAUAUAAAAAUUUAAUUUGAAGGAUAUUCAUUUGCAAUCAUUCAUUUUUGCAUUCACUUGGAUGCACAAGAGAACAAGAUUGAAAAAAAUACAAAUUUUGAUUUCUAAAUACAUCAAAUAGUCUAAAUCAUAUUCAACAGUGUCCGAUCGUCGAUUUCAAAGCUUUAUCACUGAAACUAAAUUGAUAGCAAUGAACCUAUAUAUUUCUUAUAGCAUUCUAUCUCAACUCACUCUCUCUCUCUCUCUCUCUCUUUAUCGCUAAUUCCGCUAUUUGAUCACAUGGAACAUGAGAGAUUCCCCCAAGUGGGCUUUACUUUUAAUAGUUUUGACUUUGUCCAAUAUUGAUUUGAAAUUUUUAUUAUCGAAAAUUAAAUCGAUAACAAAUUAGCAAUGAAUCUGUUUAUUACUGAUAGCAUUCUAGCUCAACUCUUUCUCUCUCUCUCUUUAUCGCUAAUUCCGCUAUUUGAUCGCAUGGAACAUG
RNAcentral lists this long non-coding RNA (1197 nucleotides) under Ananas comosus (pineapple). RNAcentral describes it as "long non-coding RNA (ACOM_LNC024759)". The record is from RNAcentral. Lineage: Eukaryota; Viridiplantae; Streptophyta; Magnoliopsida; Poales; Bromeliaceae.